Molecule: non-coding RNA, 201 nt
Organism: Phascolarctos cinereus (koala)
Lineage: Eukaryota; Metazoa; Chordata; Mammalia; Diprotodontia; Phascolarctidae
Source: RefSeq, a predicted model, not a curated record
GGGAGACCAACUGAACUACCAUCCUCUCACAUUGACCACCAGAAGGCAAAUGGCUUACCAAGAUGAGGAGGAAGCAGUAGUCCAGAAAAAAGUGAUCGCCCUGAGGUCACACAGCUUCAAAGGGAGCUCUGGGUACUGAACGGUUCUGCAGCCAUGAAGAGAAGAACUUCUCUAUGAAACCUUCCCUGACCCCUACCUCCC